GAUGAACGCUGGCGGCGUGCCUAAUACAUGCAAGUCGAGCGAACAGAUGAGGAGCUUGCUCCUCUGACGUUAGCGGCGGACGGGUGAGUAACACGUGGAUAACCUACCUAUAAGACUGGGAUAACUUCGGGAAACCGGAGCUAAUACCGGAUAAUAUAUUGAACCGCAUGGUUCAAUAGUGAAUGACGGUUUUGCUGUCACUUAUAGAUGGAUCCGCGCCGCAUUAGCUAGUUGGUAAGGUAACGGCUUACCAAGGCAACGAUGCGUAUCCGACCUGAGAGGGUGAUCGGCCACACUGGAACUGAGACACGGUCCAGACUCCUACGGGAGGCAGCAGUAGGGAAUCUUCCGCAAUGGGCGAAAGCCUGACGGAGCAACGCCGCGUGAGGGAUGAAGGUCUUCGGAUCGUAAAACUCUGUUAUUAGGGAAGAACAAAUGUGUAAGUAACUAUGCACGUCUUGACGGUACCUAAUCAGAAAGCCACGGCUAACUACGUG
Molecule: ribosomal RNA, 497 nt
Filed under: uncultured bacterium
Lineage: Bacteria
Description: partial 16S ribosomal RNA
Rfam family: Bacterial small subunit ribosomal RNA
Source: RNAcentral